This 75-nucleotide transfer RNA is filed under the name Chloroflexota bacterium. RNAcentral describes it as "tRNA-His". It matches the Rfam family "tRNA". From Rfam's summary of the family: Transfer RNA (tRNA) molecules are approximately 80 nucleotides in length. The record is from RNAcentral. Lineage: Bacteria; Bacillati; Chloroflexota.
GUGGAUGUAGCUCAGUGGUAGAGCCCCGGGUUGUGAUCCCGGUGGUCGUGGGUUCAAGCCCCAUCAUCCACCCCA